This 496-nucleotide ribosomal RNA is filed under the name uncultured bacterium. RNAcentral describes it as "partial 16S ribosomal RNA". It matches the Rfam family "Bacterial small subunit ribosomal RNA", at positions 29 to 507 of the family's 1533-position model. The record is from RNAcentral.
AUGCACGCUGGCGGCGUGCCUAAUACAUGCAAGUCGCGCGAACGGACGAGAAGCUUGCUUUUCUGAUGUUAGCGGCGGACGGGUGAGUAACACGUGGAUAACCUACCUAUAAGACCGGGAUAACUUCGGGAAACCGGAGCUAAUACCGGAUAAUAUUUUGAACCGCAUGGUUCAAAAGUGAAAGACGGUCUUGCUGUCACUUAUAGAUGGAUCCGCGCUGCAUUAGCUAGUUGGUAAGGUAACGGCUUACCAAGGCAACGAUGCAUAGCCGACCUGAGAGGGUGAUCGGCCACACUGGAACUGAGACACGGUCCAGACUCCUACGGGAGGCAGCAGUAGGGAAUCUUCCGCAAUGGGCGAAAGCCUGACGGAGCAACGCCGCGUGAGUGAUGAAGGUCUUCGAAUCGUAAAACUCUGUUAUUAGGGAAGAACAUAUGUGUAAGUAACUGUGCACAUCUUGACGGUACCUAAUCAGAAAGCCACGGCUAACUACGUG